UCAGAUGCUGAACGUGAAGGAUAACGUUGCGACAGCAACGGCCCGAAGGGCGAGGCGAAGUCGAGUCAUCCUGCACGACCCACCA
RNAcentral lists this small RNA (85 nucleotides) under Klebsiella pneumoniae. Its description in RNAcentral is "partial RtT sRNA". It matches the Rfam family "RtT RNA", at positions 49 to 130 of the family's 130-position model. Rfam says of the family: This family represents a bacterial cis-regulatory element known as RtT RNA. The exact function of RtT is unknown although it is thought that it may be involved in changing the cellular response in relation to amino acid starvation. Lineage: Bacteria; Pseudomonadati; Pseudomonadota; Gammaproteobacteria; Enterobacterales; Enterobacteriaceae. The record is from RNAcentral.